UGCUUUUGCCUUAUAUCUUUAAAUCUUGAUUGAGGAACAUUGUACUUAUCUUUAUUUUGGGCAUUAUUGUAUGAAAAUGUUCCUAUUUUGAUCAAUGAAGUCUGAAGUUUAUUCUUUAUUGCAUCUUUUCCCAUAUAUAUGUUUUUUGAUGAUAACAAAAAGGGGGAGAAGAGAAGGAAAGAGUAUAUAAAGGAAGCGAGAAGAAAAGAGUAUAUAAAGGGGGAGAAGAAAAGAUAGAGUAUUCACUUCGAGAAAAGAAAGAGUAUUUCAUUUGACAAGUUAAGAAAGAGUAUUGAUUUUGGAAGAAGCAAAGAUAGUGUUUAAAAAAAAAAUAUUAAUUUUGUGAGAAAGAGUGAGUAAAGAAGUUAUGAAAAGAAAAGAGAAAUAAAUGGGCAAACAAAUUGAAAAUCAUAUAAGAAAGCUUAUAUAUCUAAGGGGGAGCAAUUUGUAACAAUGAAAACCAAUCAAAUCAAAAAUUUCUAUCAUAAUUCAGAAUUUGGCACAUAUAAAUUCAAAAUUUGGCACGCUCCUCUCUCACCCCGAUACAUAAGCU
This 553-nucleotide long non-coding RNA is filed under the name Phoenix dactylifera (date palm). RNAcentral describes it as "long non-coding RNA (PDAC_LNC021890)". The record is from RNAcentral. Lineage: Eukaryota; Viridiplantae; Streptophyta; Magnoliopsida; Arecales; Arecaceae.